This 492-nucleotide ribosomal RNA is filed under the name uncultured bacterium. RNAcentral describes it as "partial 16S ribosomal RNA". It matches the Rfam family "Bacterial small subunit ribosomal RNA", at positions 29 to 507 of the family's 1533-position model. The record is from RNAcentral.
AGUGAACGCUGGCGGUAGGCCUAACACAUGCAAGUCGAACGGCAGCACAGUAAGAGCUUGCUCUUACGGGUGGCGAGUGGCGGACGGGUGAGGAAUACAUCGGAAUCUACUUUUUCGUGGGGGAUAACGUAGGGAAACUUACGCUAAUACCGCAUACGACCUACGGGUGAAAGCAGGGGAUCUUCGGACCUUGCGCGAUUGAAUGAGCCGAUGUCGGAUUAGCUAGUUGGCGGGGUAAAGGCCCACCAAGGCGACGAUCCGUAGCUGGUUUGAGAGGAUGAUCAGCCACACUGGAACUGGGACACGGUCCAGACUCCUACGGGAGGCACCAGUGGGGAAUAUUCGACAAUGGGCGCAAGCCUGAUCCAGCCAUCCCGCGUGGGUGAAGAAGGCCUUCGGGUUUUAAAGCCCUUUUGUUGGGAAAGAAAAGCAGCAGGUUAAUACCCCGCUGUUCUGACGGUACCCAAAGAAUAAGCACCGGCUAACUUCGUG